This 33-nucleotide ribosomal RNA is filed under the name Desmodesmus hystrix. Its description in RNAcentral is "partial 5.8S ribosomal RNA". The record is from RNAcentral. Lineage: Eukaryota; Viridiplantae; Chlorophyta; Chlorophyceae; Sphaeropleales; Scenedesmaceae.
AGAAGAGCAUGUCUGCCUCAGCGUCGGUUUACA